AGUGAACGCUGGCGGUAGGCCUAACACAUGCAAGUCGAACGGCAGCACAGUAAGAGCUUGCUCUUACGGGUGGCGAGUGGCGGACGGGUGAGGAAUACAUCGGCAUCUACUUUUUCGUGGGGGAUAACGUAGGGAAACUUACGCUAAUACCGCAUACGACCUACGGGUGAAAGCAGGGGAUCUUCGGACCUUGCGCGAUUGAAUGAGCCGAUGUCGGAUUAGCUAGUUGGCGGGGUAAAGGCCCACCAAGGCGACGAUCCGUAGCUGGUCUGAGAGGAUGAUCAGCCACACUGGAACUGAGACACGGUCCAGACUCCUACGGGAGGCAGCAGUGGGGAAUAUUGGACAAUGGGCGCAAGCCUGAUGCAGCCAUACCGCGUGGGUGAAGAAGGCCUUCGGGUUGUAAAGCCCUUUUGUUGGGAAAGAAAAGCAGCAGGUGAAUACCCCGCUGUUCUGACGGUACCCAAAGAAUAAGCACCGGCUAACUUCGUG
RNAcentral lists this ribosomal RNA (492 nucleotides) under uncultured bacterium. Its description in RNAcentral is "partial 16S ribosomal RNA". It matches the Rfam family "Bacterial small subunit ribosomal RNA", at positions 29 to 507 of the family's 1533-position model. The record is from RNAcentral.